RNAcentral lists this non-coding RNA (88 nucleotides) under Pseudo-nitzschia fraudulenta. The record is from RNAcentral. Lineage: Eukaryota; Bacillariophyta; Bacillariophyceae; Bacillariales; Bacillariaceae.
GCGAAAAGAAAAAAAUCAAUCAAAAAAUCGAAUCGAACAAUGCAGAAUUUGGGUUGUGUUUUGAAUUUUUCUUGAUUGUUCUCUUCUU